AGAUGUGAGGGUAAUUCGGCAGUGACAUCAUAACCCCAUUGAUCACCAGAUUGACGGGGCUGAUAUGGCUAGCUAGGCAGGUGUUCCCUUCCUUCGUGGCUGUUCUAAGUGUGACAUUCUCAAGCUGCACUCAAGAGGAUGGCCCUCUAUGAUAAUUGACUUUCUUCAGCCAAGGGUUGAACUGUAGCUGUAUUUUUAUGCCGCAGCCUCAAAAGAAGCUCUCAACUGGGCAUAAUUGGUACAGGCCUUAAUCCCAUCUGGAGAAGCAAAGGCAGGCAGAUUUCUGUAAGUUCAAGGACACACGGCCACUCU
RNAcentral lists this small nuclear RNA (312 nucleotides) under Microtus ochrogaster (prairie vole). RNAcentral's name for it is "7SK RNA (ENSMOCG00000005964.1)". It matches the Rfam family "7SK RNA". From Rfam's summary of the family: 7SK was discovered as an abundant small nuclear RNA in the mid-70s but a possible function has only recently been suggested. Two independent studies have found that 7SK RNA binds the CDK9/cyclin T complex (known as elongation factor P-TEFb). The record is from RNAcentral. Lineage: Eukaryota; Metazoa; Chordata; Mammalia; Rodentia; Cricetidae.